UACGUAGGGCGCAAGCGUUAUCCGGAAUUAUUGGGCGUAAAGAGCUCGUAGGCGGUUUGUCGCGUCUGCCGUGAAAGUCCGGGCUCAACUCCGGAUCUGCGGUGGUACGGGCAGACUAGAGUGAUGUAGGGGAGACUGGAAUUCCUGGUGUAGCGGUGAAAUGCGCAGAUAUCAGGAGGAACACCGGUGGCGAAGGCGGUCUCUGGGACGGUACUGACGCUGAGACGCGAAGCGUGGGGAGCGAACAGGAUAGAU
RNAcentral lists this ribosomal RNA (255 nucleotides) under uncultured bacterium. Its description in RNAcentral is "partial 16S ribosomal RNA". It matches the Rfam family "Bacterial small subunit ribosomal RNA", at positions 524 to 783 of the family's 1533-position model. The record is from RNAcentral.